RNAcentral lists this ribosomal RNA (408 nucleotides) under uncultured bacterium. RNAcentral's name for it is "partial 16S ribosomal RNA". It matches the Rfam family "Bacterial small subunit ribosomal RNA", at positions 28 to 526 of the family's 1533-position model. The record is from RNAcentral.
GACGAACGCUGGCGGCGUGCUUAACACAUGCAAGUCGAACGAAGUGGCGAACGGGUGAGUAACGCGUAAUCAACCUGCCCUUCAGAGGGGGACAACAGUUGGAAACGACUGCUAAUACCGCAUACUGAAGGAGGGGAUUGCGUCUGAUUAGCUAGGUGGAGGGGUAACGGUCCACCAAGGCGAUGAUCAGUAGGCGGUUUGGGAGGAUGAACGGCCACAUUGGGACUGGGAAAAGGCCCAGACUCCCUCGGGAGGGCGCAGGUGGGAAUUUUCCGAAAUGGAGGAAAGUCUGACGGAGCAACGCCGCGGGAGUGAUGACGGCCUUCGGGUUGGAAAGCUCUGUUAAUCGGGACGCGGUACCGGAAUAGAAAGCCACGGCUAACUACGUGCCAGCAGCCGCGGUAAUAC